GAUGAACGCUGGCGGCGUGCCUAAUACAUGCAAGUCGAGCGAACAGAUGAGGAGCUUGCUCCUCUGACGUUAGCGGCGGACGGGUGAGUAACACGUGGAUAACCUGCCUAUAAGACUGGGAUAACUUCGGGAAACCGGAGCUAAUACCGGAUAAUAUAUUGAACCGCAUGGUUCAAUAGUGAAAGACGGUUUUGCUGUCACUUAUAGAUGGAUCCGCGCCGCAUUAGCUAGUUGGUAAGGUAACGGCUUACCAAGGCAACGAUGCGUAGCCGACCUGAGAGGGUGAUCGGCCACACCGGAACUGAGACACGGUCCAGACUCCUACGGGAGGCAGCAGUAGGGAAUCUUCCGCAAUGGGCGAAAGCCUGACGGAGCAACGCCGCGUGAGUGAUGAAGGUCUUCGGAUCGUAAAACUCUGUUAUUAGGGAAGAACAAAUGUGUAAGUAACUAUGCACGUCUUGACGGUACCUAAUCAGAAAGCCACGGCUAACUACGUG
RNAcentral lists this ribosomal RNA (497 nucleotides) under uncultured bacterium. RNAcentral describes it as "partial 16S ribosomal RNA". It matches the Rfam family "Bacterial small subunit ribosomal RNA", at positions 28 to 507 of the family's 1533-position model. The record is from RNAcentral.